RNAcentral lists this ribosomal RNA (206 nucleotides) under uncultured bacterium. Its description in RNAcentral is "partial 16S ribosomal RNA". It matches the Rfam family "Bacterial small subunit ribosomal RNA", at positions 568 to 773 of the family's 1533-position model. The record is from RNAcentral.
CGCGCAGGCGGUCUUGUCCGUCAGGUGUGAAAGCUCGGGGCUCAACCCCGGAAGUGCACUUGAAACAGCAAGACUUGAAUACGGUAGAGGAGAGAGGAAUUCCUGGUGUAGAGGUGAAAUUCGUAGAUAUCAGGAGGAACACCGAUGGCGAAGGCAUCUCUCUGGGCCGAUAUUGACGCUGAGGCGCGAAGGCGUGGGUAGCGAAC